ACGUAUCCACGUAUAAACCAUUGCGAACUGUGCCCUUUAACCUUUGAGGAAAAGUUGAGUUAGUUUGUAGUUAGAACAUUUCAAAAGCAGUUGUUGUGAUUAACUGUGUUCUGGCUGCCAUGAUUGAGUGAUUUCGGUCUCUCUUUCAUACUUGCUUCUCUUCAAAGUUGUAUCCAAUCACUACUUAUUAACCAUUUUAACCCCAUCUUUAUAAACUUCUGAACUAACUUAUUUUAUACUCCCCGUAACAACGGAGAUAAAAUUCAUUACGAAACAAAAGAACAACUCUUAGCAACGGAUAUCUUGGUUCU
Molecule: unclassified non-coding RNA, 311 nt
Filed under: rhizosphere metagenome
Description: partial ribosomal RNA internal transcribed spacer region
Source: RNAcentral